AUUGAACGCUGGCGGCAGGCCUAACACAUGCAAGUCGAACGAGUGGAGGACGGGUGAGUAAUGUCUGGGAAACUGCCUGAUGGAGGGGGAUAACUACUGGAAACGGUCGAUAAUACCGCAUAUCACCGGAUGUGCCCAGAUGGGAUUAGCAAGUAGGUGGGGUAAAGGCUCACCUAGGAGACGAGCCCUAGCUGGUCUGAGAGGUUGACCAGCCACAGUGGAAGUGAGACACAGUACAGACUCGUACGGAAGGCAGCAGAUGGGAAUAUAGCACAAUGGUCGCAAGCCUGAUGCAGGCAAGCCGAGUGUAUGAAGAAGGCCUUGGGGUUGUAAAGCACUUUCAGCGAGGAGGCGUUACUCGCAGAAGAAGCACCGGCUAACUCCGUGCCAGCAGCCGCGGUAAUUC
RNAcentral lists this ribosomal RNA (406 nucleotides) under uncultured bacterium. Its description in RNAcentral is "partial 16S ribosomal RNA". It matches the Rfam family "Bacterial small subunit ribosomal RNA", at positions 30 to 526 of the family's 1533-position model. The record is from RNAcentral.